UUACUCUUCCACUAGCUCCGGCUUCCAGAUGUCUCUGUCGGUGGCGCAGCCCAAAAGCGCGCGCAGCCCAGGAGCGUCUCGGAGCUGCACCAGGAUGGGGAUCAAACUGUUGAAAUAAAUCAACCUAACGAGGCCGCCAGGAAGGACCGACUACAGAGAUUCGUCCUGCCCAGACAUUUUGUACUCGCUUCUUGACCCCUUCCUCAAAAUGGACGGUAGAUGAAAACUCACUAUGCUGCCCAGACUCGUCUCGAACUCCUGGGUGUCACGCGUGUCCGUAUAGAAGACCACCUAAACAGGCUUUGUGUUCACGUGUUGAAAUCCUAACUCCAAAUAUGAUGAUAGGAGGAGAUGGGGCCUUCGGGAGGUGAUGAGGUCAUGAGGGUGGAAUCCUCAUGAAUGGUCUCAACGCCCUUAGAAAAGAGACCCCAGAGACCUCGCUCCCGCUUUCUACUGUGGGAGAAUGCAGCAAGAAGUCAGCCGUCUAUGAACAAGGAAGCAGGUCCUCUCCAGGCACUGAAUGUACCAGUGCCUUGAUCUUGGACUUCCCAGCCUCCAGAACUAUGACAAUAAAUUCUGUUGUUUAAGCUA
Molecule: non-coding RNA, 591 nt
Organism: Homo sapiens (human)
Lineage: Eukaryota; Metazoa; Chordata; Mammalia; Primates; Hominidae
Source: RefSeq, a predicted model, not a curated record